This 497-nucleotide ribosomal RNA is filed under the name uncultured bacterium. Its description in RNAcentral is "partial 16S ribosomal RNA". It matches the Rfam family "Bacterial small subunit ribosomal RNA", at positions 28 to 507 of the family's 1533-position model. The record is from RNAcentral.
GAUGAACGCUGGCGGCGUGCCUAAUACAUGCAAGUCGAGCGAACGGACGAGAAGCUUGCUUUUCUGAUGUUAGCGGCGGACGGGUGAGUAACACGUGGAUAACCGACCUAUAAGACUGGGAUAACUUCGGGAAACCGGAGCUAAUACCGGAUAAUAUUUUGAACCGCAUGGUUCAAAAGUGAAAGACGGUCUUGCUGUCACUUAUAGAUGGAUCCGCGCUGCAUUAGCUAGUUGGUAAGGUAACGGCUUACCAAGGCAACGAUGCAUAGCCGACCUGAGAGGGUGAUCGGCCACACUGGAACUGAGACACGGUCCAGACUCCUACGGGAGGCAGCAGUAGGGAAUCUUCCGCAAUGGGCGAAAGCCUGACGGAGCAACGCCGCGUGAGUGAUGAAGGUCUUCGGAUCGUAAAACUCUGUUAUUAGGGAAGAACAUAUGUGUAAGUAACUGUGCACAUCUUGACGGUACCUAAUCAGAAAGCCACGGCUAACUACGUG